UUGGUAGUAUAAUAAAUUACGUUGAAUUGCAGCUUCAAAAGUGUUAAAUUAACUUAACUCUCAAAAUUUAUUUGGUCUUAGUUAAAUAAAGAGUUAAUAUUAAAACUAUCAUAAAAAUAUUUAAAAUGGUUGGGAGACUAAAAAUUAAAAAUCUCCAGCUUAGUGGUGAGUUUUUUAAAAAGAACGUAAGUUCGUUUAAGUUAAUAUUAAUAAAGGGGUAAAUAUUAGGUGCCAGCAGCUGCGGUUAUACCUAUUCUUUUUCUUUAUUUUUGGGGAAAAUACAAAUUUAUAAAUUUCAAACAAAUUAACCUUGUCAUAGUUAAAUAGCAUGGUUACUAGGUUCUAAAUUGAAAGUUAUACAUUGUAAUAUUUUAUAUAAAAACUAAGAUUAGGUACCUUAUUAUUAUAAAAAGUAAAUUAUAUGACCCAGAGGAGUAAAAUAUAUAAAACUCAAAAGACCUGGCGGUGGAAGUCUUCCUACCAGAGGAGUGUGCCAAAUAAUAGAUAAUCCGCUAAAUAAUUAACCUCUUAUAUUAUAGUUAGUGUACGGCCGCUUUCAGGCAGUUUUUAGAGAAUAAAAAAAUUGCCUAUAUUUUACUAUUUAUUAUCUAGUUAAGACAGGUCAAUGUGCUGCUAAUAAAGAGUGUUCAAAGGUGCACUAUUUUAACAUAGGAAAAAGGACUAAAAAUUGUAAAUAUUUUUAUCAAUUAAGAUUUGGUAGUAACAAUAAUUUAAUAUGUUGUUGUGAAUUUAAGGUAAAGAUCCGUGUACACAUCGCCCGUCGCUC
RNAcentral lists this ribosomal RNA (787 nucleotides) under Notocomplana palta. Its description in RNAcentral is "12S ribosomal RNA". Lineage: Eukaryota; Metazoa; Platyhelminthes; Polycladida; Notocomplanidae. The record is from RNAcentral.